Molecule: non-coding RNA, 108 nt
Organism: Xylogone sp. PMI_703
Lineage: Eukaryota; Fungi; Ascomycota; Leotiomycetes
Source: the annotation of a GenBank genome assembly
GGCAACUUGGCCGAGCGGUUAUGGCGCUAGCUUCAGGUUUCUGAUUCGAAGAAUCGGCAGAAUGAUCGCUAGUUCGAAAGAGCGUGGGUUCGAGUCCCACAGUUGUCA